Molecule: ribosomal RNA, 1001 nt
Filed under: Heterodesmus apriculus
Lineage: Eukaryota; Metazoa; Arthropoda; Ostracoda; Myodocopida; Cypridinidae
Description: SSU rRNA
Rfam family: Eukaryotic small subunit ribosomal RNA
Source: RNAcentral
GGCACGGGGAAGGUAGUGACGAAAAAUAACGAUACCGGACUCGUCCCAGGCCUCGUAAUUGAAAUGAUUACAAUCUAAAUCCCUUAACAAGAAUCCAUUGAAGGACAAUUCUGGUGCCACCACCCCCGGUAAUUCCAGCUCCAAUACCGAAUAUAAAAGUUGUUGCGGUUAAAAAGCUCGUAUUUGAAUCUCAUUUCUGGACAUGCGCGGGUCCGCCCACGCACUGGUGGACUGCUGACAUGCCUGGAGCAAAACCGCCUGGCUUGUCGCACGGUGCUCUUGACCGAGUGUUGUGGGUGGCCGACUCGUUCACGUUGAGAAAACCAGAGUGCUUAAAGCAGGCGCAAGACGCCCGAAUGACUGUGCAUGGAAUAAUGGAAAAGGAUCUCGCUUCUGUCUUUGUUGGUUCUUCGGAAGGCGAGAUAAUGAUUAAUAGGGACAGACGGGGGCAUUCGUAUUGCGACGUUAGAGGUGAAAUUCUUGGAUCGUCGCAUGACGAACUACUGCGAAAGCAUUUGCCAAGAAUGUUUUCGUUAAUCAAGAACGAAAGUUAGAGGUUCGAAGGCGAUCAGAUACCGCCCUAGUUCUAACCAUAAACGAUGCCAACUGGCGAUCCGCCCCAGUUAAAUGCACGACUGGGCGGGCAGCCUCCGGGAAACCAAAGUCUUUGGGUUCCGGGGGAAGUAUGGUUGCAAAGCUGAAACUUAAAGAAAUUGACGGAAGGGCACCACCAGGAGUGGAGCCUGCGGCUUAAUUUGACUCAACACGGGAAACCUCACCAGGCCCGGACACCAAAAGGAUUGACAGAUUGAGAGCUCUUUCUUGAUUGGUGGGUGGGGGUUCAUGGCCGUUUAUAGUUGGUGGAGUGUCUUGUCUGCUUAAUUCCGAUAAUCGAUAUAGAGACUCUAGCUUGCUAACUAUCUGGUGGAUCACUUGGUUUGAUGCGACAAACACAGUUGUAUACUUUCGGGUUUGGUCUGGAUAGUUGAGUCCAUCUCGAG